RNAcentral lists this transfer RNA (69 nucleotides) under Ictidomys tridecemlineatus (thirteen-lined ground squirrel). Its description in RNAcentral is "Spermophilus tridecemlineatus (thirteen-lined ground squirrel) tRNA". It matches the Rfam family "tRNA". Rfam says of the family: Transfer RNA (tRNA) molecules are approximately 80 nucleotides in length. Lineage: Eukaryota; Metazoa; Chordata; Mammalia; Rodentia; Sciuridae. The record is from Rfam by way of RNAcentral.
GGGGUUGUGGCUCAGCGGUAGAGUGCUUGCUUAGUACGCGCGAGGCCCUGAGUUCGAUACUCAGCACCA